This 495-nucleotide ribosomal RNA is filed under the name fungal sp. 192c2F.1. RNAcentral's name for it is "eukaryotic LSU rRNA". The stretch from base 178 to 331 matches the Rfam family "5.8S ribosomal RNA". The record is from RNAcentral. Lineage: Eukaryota; Fungi.
CAUUGCUGGAACGCGCCCCAGGCGCACCCAGAAACCCUUUGUGAACUUAUACCUUUUGUUGCCUCGGCGCUGCUGGUCUCUAGUAGGCCCCUCACUUCGGUGAGGAAAAGGCACGCCGGCGGCCAAAUCAACUCUGUUUUUACACUGAAACUCUGAGAAAAAACACAAAUGAAUCAAAACUUUCAACAACGGAUCUCUUGGUUCUGGCAUCGAUGAAGAACGCAGCGAAAUGCGAUAAGUAAUGUGAAUUGCAGAAUUCAGUGAAUCAUCGAAUCUUUGAACGCACAUUGCGCCCUCUGGUAUUCCGGAGGGCAUGCCUGUUCGAGCGUCAUUUCAACCCUCAAGCAUUGCUUGGUGUUGGGGCACUGCUUCUAACGAAGCAGGCCCUGAAAUCUAGUGGCGAGCUCGCCAGGACCCCGAGCGCAGUAGUUAAACCCUCGCUCUGGAAGGCCCUGGCGGUGCCCUGCCGUUAAACCCCCAACUUCUGAAAAUUGA